RNAcentral lists this ribosomal RNA (1358 nucleotides) under Escherichia coli. RNAcentral's name for it is "partial 23S ribosomal RNA". It matches the Rfam family "Bacterial large subunit ribosomal RNA", at positions 419 to 1778 of the family's 2925-position model. Lineage: Bacteria; Pseudomonadati; Pseudomonadota; Gammaproteobacteria; Enterobacterales; Enterobacteriaceae. The record is from RNAcentral.
GGGACACGUGGUAUCCUGUCUGAAUAUGGGGGGACCAUCCUCCAAGGCUAAAUACUCCUGACUGACCGAUAGUGAACCAGUACCGUGAGGGAAAGGCGAAAAGAACCCCGGCGAGGGGAGUGAAAAAGAACCUGAAACCGUGUACGUACAAGCAGUGGGAGCACGCUUAGGCGUGUGACUGCGUACCUUUUGUAUAAUGGGUCAGCGACUUAUAUUCUGUAGCAAGGUUAACCGAAUAGGGGAGCCGAAGGGAAACCGAGUCUUAACUGGGCGUUAAGUUGCAGGGUAUAGACCCGAAACCCGGUGAUCUAGCCAUGGGCAGGUUGAAGGUUGGGUAACACUAACUGGAGGACCGAACCGACUAAUGUUGAAAAAUUAGCGGAUGACUUGUGGCUGGGGGUGAAAGGCCAAUCAAACCGGGAGAUAGCUGGUUCUCCCCGAAAGCUAUUUAGGUAGCGCCUCGUGAAUUCAUCUCCGGGGGUAGAGCACUGUUUCGGCAAGGGGGUCAUCCCGACUUACCAACCCGAUGCAAACUGCGAAUACCGGAGAAUGUUAUCACGGGAGACACACGGCGGGUGCUAACGUCCGUCGUGAAGAGGGAAACAACCCAGACCGCCAGCUAAGGUCCCAAAGUCAUGGUUAAGUGGGAAACGAUGUGGGAAGGCCCAGACAGCCAGGAUGUUGGCUUAGAAGCAGCCAUCAUUUAAAGAAAGCGUAAUAGCUCACUGGUCGAGUCGGCCUGCGCGGAAGAUGUAACGGGGCUAAACCAUGCACCGAAGCUGCGGCAGCGACGCUUAUGCGUUGUUGGGUAGGGGAGCGUUCUGUAAGCCUGCGAAGGUGUGCUGUGAGGCAUGCUGGAGGUAUCAGAAGUGCGAAUGCUGACAUAAGUAACGAUAAAGCGGGUGAAAAGCCCGCUCGCCGGAAGACCAAGGGUUCCUGUCCAACGUUAAUCGGGGCAGGGUGAGUCGACCCCUAAGGCGAGGCCGAAAGGCGUAGUCGAUGGGAAACAGGUUAAUAUUCCUGUACUUGGUGUUACUGCGAAGGGGGGACGGAGAAGGCUAUGUUGGCCGGGCGACGGUUGUCCCGGUUUAAGCGUGUAGGCUGGUUUUCCAGGCAAAUCCGGAAAACUAAGGCUGAGGCGUGAUGACGAGGCACUACGGUGCUGAAGCAACAAAUGCCCUGCUUCCAGGAAAAGCCUCUAAGCAUCAGGUAACAUCAAAUCGUACCCCAAACCGACACAGGUGGUCAGGUAGAGAAUACCAAGGCGCUUGAGAGAACUCGGGUGAAGGAACUAGGCAAAAUGGUGCCGUAACUUCGGGAGAAGGCACGCUGAUAUGUAGGUGAAGUCCCUCGCGGAU